Molecule: non-coding RNA, 143 nt
Filed under: Bacillus sp. (in: firmicutes)
Lineage: Bacteria; Bacillati; Bacillota; Bacilli; Caryophanales; Bacillaceae
Also listed under: 1 other name
Description: Bacillus sp. SAM-I sequence
Rfam family: SAM riboswitch aptamer (S box leader)
About the family: The SAM riboswitch is found upstream of a number of genes which code for proteins involved in methionine or cysteine biosynthesis in Gram-positive bacteria. The SAM riboswitch acts at the level of transcription termination control. The predicted structure consists of a complex stem-loop region followed by a single stem loop terminator region.
Source: RNAcentral
ACCUUAUCCAGAGAAGGUGGAGGGACUGGCCCGAUGAAACCCGGCAACCGACAUGACGCUGUCCGAGCGCUUCCGGCGACGGACGUGCAGCGCGUGCACGGUGCUAAUUCCUGCAGAAACAAAAGUAUUCUGGAAGAUAAGGG